Molecule: RNase P RNA, 377 nt
Filed under: Citrobacter freundii
Lineage: Bacteria; Pseudomonadati; Pseudomonadota; Gammaproteobacteria; Enterobacterales; Enterobacteriaceae
Description: RNase P RNA component class A
Rfam family: Bacterial RNase P class A
About the family: Ribonuclease P (RNase P) is a ubiquitous endoribonuclease, found in archaea, bacteria and eukarya as well as chloroplasts and mitochondria. Its best characterised activity is the generation of mature 5'-ends of tRNAs by cleaving the 5'-leader elements of precursor-tRNAs. Cellular RNase Ps are ribonucleoproteins.
Source: RNAcentral
GAAGCUGACCAGACAGUCGCCGCUUCGUCGUCGUCCUCUUCGGGGGAGACGGGCGGAGGGGAGGAAAGUCCGGGCUCCAUAGGGCAGGGUGCCAGGUAACGCCUGGGGGGGAAACCCACGACCAGCGCAACAGAGAGCAAACCGCCGAUGGCCCACGUAAGUGGGAUCAGGUAAGGGUGAAAGGGUGCGGUAAGAGCGCACCGCGCGGCUGGUAACAGUCCGUGGCACGGUAAACUCCACCCGGAGCAAGGCCAAAUAGGGGUUCACAAGGUACGGCCCGUACUGAACCCGGGUAGGCUGCUUGAGCCAGUGAGCGAUUGCUGGCCUAGAUGAAUGACUGUCCACGACAGAACCCGGCUUAUCGGUCAGCUUCACUC